CGGAAUGCUUUACACAUGCAAGUCGAACGGCAGCAUAGAGAGCUUGCUCUCUGAUGGCGAGUGGCGAACGGGUGAGUAAUAUAUCGGAACGUGCCUAGUAAUGGGGAAUAACUAGCUGAAAGGUUAGCUAAUGCCGCAUACGACCUACGGGUGAAAGCAGGGGAUCUUCGGACCUUGCGUUAUUAGAGCGGCCGAUAUCUGAUUAGCUUGUUGGUGGGGUAAUGGCCUACCAAGGCGACGAUCAGUAGCUGGUCUGAGAGGACGAUCAGCCACACUGGAACUGAGACACGGUCCAGACUCCUACGGGAGGCAGCAGUGGGGAAUUUUGGACAAUGGGGGCAACCCUGAUCCAGCCAUUCCGCGUGAGUGAAGAAGGCCUUCGGGUUGUAAAGCUCUUUCGCAAGAGAAGAAAACUUGCUAUCUAAUAAAUAGUAAGUAUGACGGUAUCUUGACAAGAAGCACCGGCUAACUACGUGCCAGCAGCCGCGGUAAUACGUAGGGUGCAAGCGUUAAUCGGAAUUACUGGGCGUAAAGCGUGCGCAGGCAGUUUUAUAAGUCAGAUGUGAAAUCCCCGAGCUCAACUUGGGAACUGCGUUUGAAACUGUAAGACUAGAGUGUGUCAGAGGGGGGUAGAAAUUCCAAGUGUAGCAGUGAAAUGCGUAGAGAUUUGGAGGAAUACCAAUGGCGAAAGGCAGCCCCCCUGGGAUAACACUGA
This 715-nucleotide ribosomal RNA is filed under the name beta proteobacterium IMCC15149. RNAcentral's name for it is "bacterial SSU rRNA". It matches the Rfam family "Bacterial small subunit ribosomal RNA", at positions 40 to 743 of the family's 1533-position model. The record is from RNAcentral. Lineage: Bacteria; Pseudomonadati; Pseudomonadota; Betaproteobacteria.